This 21-nucleotide unclassified non-coding RNA is filed under the name Mus musculus (house mouse). RNAcentral describes it as "oocyte_clustered_small_RNA10176". Lineage: Eukaryota; Metazoa; Chordata; Mammalia; Rodentia; Muridae. The record is from RNAcentral.
AGAGAAGUGGGCAAUGAACGA